AGACCCCAUGGCGACCUAAGGUCUAAAGUGGCAGCAGCAGAACAGGAAGGAAUAGUUUAUCCAAUACCCACUGAAAAUGAAAGACUGCACAGGGCUCAGUGACUGAAUAUUCGAGUUAAAAAGGAAGGAACCCAGAAUAACCCCAAGUUUGAAAGGAGUGGCUGGGAAAUUCAAAGAAUCACUGAUGGCGAUAGGCUGAGCAAAAGCUGUACUGGGAACAAGGAUGAGUUCAUUUUUUAACUACUCUUACUCUGACUAAAAUAGAAGUGGUAAAGGGCAGCGAGGUGGUGCAGAGAUAGAGCACCAAAACUGGAGACAAGAAGACCUGAAUUCAAAUUCGGCCUCAGACACUACCUAGCUGUGUGACCCUGGGCAAGUCACUUCACCCUGUUGGCCUCAGUCUCCUCAUCUGGAAAAUGAACUGGAGAAGCAAACGGCAACCCACUCCAGUAUCUCUGCCAAGAAAAUCCCAAAUGGGUUCACAACGUCAUGAGUCAACAACAACAACAAAUGAGACUAAACACCCCACUGUGCUUCCCUGGCAGAGGAAGAGGAAUUGCCCCUACUAUCUCCAAGGGACCCCUGGAGUGAAGGCACCUCACUCAUCCUCCAGGGCACUGGAACCCACUCCAGCCCAGGUUCUCCCAGGAGCUGCAGUCCCACCCAGGAAGCAACUUCUCCAAAACGAUAAUUAUCAUGUAAAUGGUCCAUGCUGGGGUAAAAAGCCCUUGACAAUCAGUAGUCAAGGCACACUACACCCAUGGGGAGUCUGCCAAGGCUUCCCUCCCCCCCUUUCCAAGCGGAGGCACCAGUAUUUGAAGGCCAGCCAAGCAGCCACCCAGAACACCAAACUCUCUGGCAGCAAAGCAGGAAUUCAGCAAACCCUAAUAAUGGACUUGGUGUGAGACCAAGGCAACCCACUAGAUCAAGCUGUAUCCCAGGAAAACAGGCAGCAUGGAGAAAAGGAAGAGAGAUAAACACAGGCUCCUAGCAUUAUGCACUUCAGAAGUGGUUUAUCAGCCUCCUUGUAAUUAUCAGAACAAAAAACUCCUAACUCAUUUGCCUAGAAAUUAUCCCUAAUGGUAACUGGUUAUUUUCUCAUUUAAAUCAAUGGAAGGUGGUCCUCAGAAAGGGAUUACACAGAAAAUGGAAGCUCUUGGGAGCAAGAGUUCUAUCAUUUCCCCCAAAAUCUUAUCUAAUAAUUGAUUCAAUAGCAUUAAGAAGUAGUGGAAAACCGGAAGUAAAGUAUAGUAACUGCAAGACAGACAGACUUCAAGACAUCCUCCCCCCCUCCCAAUCCCCCAGCUAAGAUGAAAGCCCUGGAAUUUCAUCUGCUGCAAUAUUUGGAAUUAGGCUGCUUGGGUGAAUCCAUGGCAUUUCAUGGCAUUGAUUUUAAUCAACGUCAAAAUAGCUACAAAGGAGGAAGCAAUGAAGGCCGCAGCAACUUUUCCAAAUAUAUUUCCCUGGAGUGGAAAUCUGACCAAGGUGUAGUUUUAAGGCCCCACUUACUUGGAAUGGACUUUUAAUUAAUUCAACUCAAACAAAUACUGUGUGCAAGCAAGCUUUCUUUUCAUUAUCUCAGACUACCGAAGCUCUCCAUACUUAAUACUCUAAUGGAUCUGUGAUCUCAUCAAUUCAAUUCCACAAGGCUGUAUUAAAUGAAACAGGUAGGUGGCACAGUGGAGAGUGGACCUGGAGUCAGGAAGAUUUGUAUUCAAAUUCCGUCUCAGCCACUUGCCAGCUGGUGAUCCUAGAGAAGUCACUUGACCUGUUUCAGUUUUCUCAUCUGUAAAAUGGGGAUUGGUAAUAGCACCUAAUUAUUAAUAAUAGCACCUCUUAUAAGGAUAAAGUAAUAUUUACUAUAUCAAUGCUAGCUAUUAAAUGUCUGCCAUGUAAGAGCCACGU
This 1905-nucleotide long non-coding RNA is filed under the name Vombatus ursinus (common wombat). RNAcentral's name for it is "lncRNA (ENSVURG00010000881.1)". The record is from RNAcentral. Lineage: Eukaryota; Metazoa; Chordata; Mammalia; Diprotodontia; Vombatidae.